This 454-nucleotide ribosomal RNA is filed under the name uncultured bacterium. Its description in RNAcentral is "partial 16S ribosomal RNA". It matches the Rfam family "Bacterial small subunit ribosomal RNA", at positions 29 to 523 of the family's 1533-position model. The record is from RNAcentral.
AACGAACGCUGGCGGCAGGCUUAACACAUGCAAGUCGAACGCAUCCUUCGGGGUGAGUGGCAGACGGGUGAGUAACGCGUGGGAACGUGCCCUUCAGUUCGGGAUAACCCAGGGAAACUUUGGCUAAUACCGGAUACGCGCGAGAGCAGAAAGAUUUAUCGCUGAAGGAUCGGCCCGCGUCUGAUUAGCUAGUUGGUGGGGUAAUGGCCCACCAAGGCGACGAUCAGUAGCUGGUCCGAGAGGAUGAUCAGCCACAUUGGGACUGAGACACGGCGCAAACCCCUACGGGAGGCAGCAGUGGGGAAUAUUGGACAAUGGGCGCAAGCCUGAUCCAGCCAUGCCGGGUGAGUGAUGAAGGGCUUAGGGUUGUAAAGCUCUUUUAGUAGGGAAGAAGCGAAAGUGACGGUACCUGCAGAAAAAGCACCGGCUAACUACGUGCCAGCAGCCGCAGUAA